RNAcentral lists this ribosomal RNA (263 nucleotides) under uncultured bacterium. RNAcentral's name for it is "partial 16S ribosomal RNA". It matches the Rfam family "Bacterial small subunit ribosomal RNA", at positions 793 to 1055 of the family's 1533-position model. The record is from RNAcentral.
GUCCACGCCGUAAACGAUGGGUACUAGGUGUAGGAGGUAUCGACUCCUUCUGUGCCGCAGUUAACACAAUAAGUACCCCGCCUGGGGAGUACGGUCGCAAGAUUAAAACUCAAAGGAAUUGACGGGGGCCCGCACAAGCAGCGGAGCAUGUGGUUUAAUUCGAAGCAACGCGAAGAACCUUACCUAGACUUGACAUCUCCUGAAUAGCCAAGAGAUUGGUGAAGCCCUUCGGGGCAGGAAGACAGGUGGUGCAUGGUUGUCGU